This 253-nucleotide ribosomal RNA is filed under the name uncultured bacterium. Its description in RNAcentral is "partial 16S ribosomal RNA". It matches the Rfam family "Bacterial small subunit ribosomal RNA", at positions 524 to 776 of the family's 1533-position model. The record is from RNAcentral.
UACGGAGGGUGCAAGCGUUAUCCGGAUUCACUGGGUUUAAAGGGCGCGUAGGCGGUCGGGUAAGUCUGAUGUGAAAUCUCACAGCUUAACUGUGAAACUGCAUUGGAUACUAUCCGGCUCGAGGAAUGGAGGGGAGACUGGAAUACUUGGUGUAGCAGUGAAAUGCGUAGAUAUCAAGUGGAACACCAGUGGCGAAGGCGAGUCUCUGGACAUUUCCUGACGCUGAGGCACGAAAGCCAGGGGAGCAAACGGG